Long non-coding RNA from Molossus molossus (Pallas's mastiff bat), 832 nucleotides. RefSeq lists it as uncharacterized. The record is from RefSeq and is a predicted model, not a curated record. NCBI's taxonomy places the organism in Eukaryota, Metazoa, Chordata, Mammalia, Chiroptera, Molossidae. The transcript is spliced from 7 exons.
CAGGAGGAAGAAAAAUCUAGGAGUUCAGACAAUCGCACUUAAUUGUUUUGAAUCAUCUCUAAAAGCUUAUUUCCACAUAACAAAAUUUAUUAAAUUGCUUUGUGAAGCAAGGCUGAUUUCCCACCGAAAUGAUGACUCAUGAGGUAUGACUAAGUCUUAUGUGUGUUCUUCUCCUAGCAAGUAAGCUACUGAUUCCCAGUGGGCCUGACAUAGGUCUUUACCUAGUGAACUUGAUAAGUGAACUUCACUGCCACGCCAGGCCAAGUCAAGAUGCAUAACUGGCACCAAAUAUUAGGAAUGAGCUACAAAAGUUCCAGAGAGAUCUCAUCUUUCCAAGCCCAACAUUCUUUCUUACCAAGUACUUCAAAACAGUGCUUGGUCUGCCAUCAUUUACUUGAUGAAACCUGGGACAGAGCUAAAGCCUACAAAAAUAGAGUUAAAUUUGUGUGUGAAACCAAACAGCACGAGAACCACUAAACAGCCUAUUUAAAAAAUGAAGAAAUUAAGAGUCAGAGAAGAAGUCAAGCAGCUUGUCCAAGGUCAUACAGUCAGGAUGUGGAAGAGCGGUGGUUUGGGCCAAGGCAGGUUCUAGAAUUGGAAGGAGUGAGAAGACUGGUGAUAAAGGGUCUCUUUAUCAAAGGGAUUUGAGGACUUUUACUUACCUCAGUGAUUCAUCACCAGAGCCUACCUGGGAGAUAGGCACCUUGUCUACUCCCCAGUUAACAAUCUUUGUGCUGGUAAUGCCCAGACUAGACCUCUACUCUGAAUACCUGACCUGUAGAACCACCUGCUUUUUAGACACCGCCACUCAGUUGUCCCUCAAACUCAUCCU